CCUACGGGUGGCUGCAGUAGGGAAUCUUUCACAAUGGGCGAAAGUCUGAUGGAGCAACGCCGCGUGCAGGAUGAAGGCCUUCGGGUUGUAAACUGCUUUUAUAAGCGAGAAAUAUGAUGGCAAUUUCUGAAUAAGGAUCGGCUAUUUACGUGCCAGCAGCCGCGGUCAUACGUAGGAUCCGAGGAUUAUCCGGGGUGAUUGUGUGUAAAGAGUUGCGUGGGGGGUAUAAUAAGUAGCGAGGGGAAUCUGGUGGCUCAACCAUUCAGACUAUUAGCUAAACUGUUAAGCUCGAGACCGUUAGGGGUAACUGGAAUUUCUAGUGUAGGAGUGAAAUGCGUAGAUAUUAGAAGGAACACCAAUGGCGAAGGCAGGUUACUGGGCCGUUUCUGACACUAAGGCACGAAAGCGUAGGGAGCAAACGGGAUUAGAUACCCGAGUAGUC
This 442-nucleotide ribosomal RNA is filed under the name uncultured bacterium. RNAcentral's name for it is "partial 16S ribosomal RNA". It matches the Rfam family "Bacterial small subunit ribosomal RNA", at positions 338 to 795 of the family's 1533-position model. The record is from RNAcentral.